UGUGGGAAGUAGCCAUGGUCUGAGGCUGGCGCCUCACCUGUCAGCCAGUCUGGCUGCUACGCUCUCCCCUGGCUGUCGCAUCCUGGGCGAUCUCGGCUGUCGCAACCCGGGCGGCUGCGGCCACCAUGAUACAUUUCAUCUUGCUCUUCAGUCGACAAGGGAAACUUCGGCUGCAGAAAUGGUACACCACGCUCCCUGACAAGGAGAGGAAGAAGAUUACCCGGGAGAUCAUCCAGGCUGUUCUCUCUCGUGGACACAGGACGAGCAGCUUCAUUGACUGGAAGGAGCUGAAACUUGUUUAUAAAAGGUAUGCUAGUUUAUAUUUUUGCUGUGCAAUAGAAAAUCAGGACAAUGAGCUCUUGACACUAGAGAUUGUACAUCGUUAUGUGGAGUUGCUGGACAAGUACUUUGGAAAUGUCUGUGAGCUGGAUAUUAUCUUUAAUUUUGAAAAGGCGUAUUUUAUCCUUGAUGAAUUUAUAAUAGGUGGAGAAAUUCAGGAAACAUCCAAGAAAACGGCAGUCAAGGCCAUUGAAGACUCUGAUAUGUUGCAGGAGCAGGUCAAGAGUCAAGAGGACAAUUUCAAGAAUUGUAAAGUACCCUUUUAAAAUUGGUACUAAAGCCAUUCUUCCUGCUAUUUGGAAAUAAGAGACUGAUUAAGUUAAUAAGACAUUAGGCAUGAUUUCCCAGCAACUGUCUUGGCAAUACUUUGAGCUGAUUACUUACUCCUGCCCAUGGAGGGACUCCAUCCUCAGACAAUGGAAGAAUACAUGAACAAGCCCACGUUUUAACUGUGCCGUCUACUUGAAGAUUCUGAGUGCUUCGUGUUGGGAAUCGACCAGUGAGCAACUCUUUGCAUCCAGUCUCCACACAGCUUCUGGCUCCAUGCCAAAAAUAACUUAAAGGGAUUGUUGUUAGCAUAAUGUAUUUAUAGUUGCUACAUGUCUAUAUUAUACUGUGCAUCAGUACUCAUUGUGGCUCUAGUUGUUUCAAAUAAUUGCUGCAGAUUGAAUAGUUGUUUGCCGUGUUUGUGGCAUUUUUUAACGUAACUUCAAAUAUUAGUUGCAGUAUAAUAAUUUUUGUUGCCAUUUGAUCAGUCUACCAGUAGACUGACAAGUACUUUGUGAUAACACACAAUUUUGAAUGUAAAGUAUAUUUAUAUAACAAAUGCCUUUCCUAAAUGUUUUUAAAAGGUACAUGAAUUCAAAUUUAUGUUACUAGUUCAGAUUUCAUACAUGAUGCAGACUUUUUUUAAUAUGUUCAAUACUACUAUAAUUUCAGCUCAGACACAAUUUAUAUGACUUUAAUGUUUUGAAUUCGACUUAUUUUCUUCAGAAUUGGAAUAGAACUUUAUAAAUGAUUUUGAUGUCUUAGAAGGUGCUAGAUUGAGGUUUUUUUUUUACUUUAUUUUCAAUUGAAUAUAAGGGAAAUUUUAAUAAGGUUAUGUUUUCUACAAGCUACCUAUUUAUUAUGGUUUCAGGAGAUCUGGAGAUAGAAUAUUACAGCAUCUCCUUUUAUUACCAAAGUACUAACAAAGGAAUAGCUAGAUCAAUAAUUGUAAUCUCCACUAAUAUUUUACAUCUCAUGUUCCAAUUAAUCCUUGUGAUCGGGAGGCUUCUUCAAAUAAUUUUACUGUAAGCUGAAUGUAUUAGGUUUCCUUAGGGCAUGUAUUUUCAUUGUGUCCUUUAUGGGAGAGGACUCUAUUCCUUUUUCCUCUCCCCCUCCCCAGGAAAAUAUUUUCUGCUGACCACUAUUUUUGUGACCGUGUCACCUUCAUGCUUCCAAAACAAAUGUUCUGCAUAGUCUGAGUGUGCUCAGACAUGAUGUAGGGAGUUGCUGUGUGGCGUUUUUUCACGGCGCCCGUGUCUGGAGUUUCGGGUAUGCAUUUUCAUUGUGAGUGUCAAGGUCUGAUGUCAUCCAUAUCAGAGUGCUUAGGACGCUUACGUUUUUCCUAAGACGAUAGUGAGCUUGAGUUUGGGUUCUGUGGGAGAUCUCGAAAGGGAACGUGAUGGUUUGUUGCCUUUGGUUCAUCUCACCAGUCAUAUUUAAGGCAUGAUGGCAAAACCAGAAUGGAAGAACAGUCAAAUGGACCCAUUCCUCAAUAUAACCAUCUAUAUAAAGGCAAUAAUUCAGGUUUUUUUUUUUUUUUUGGUUUUUUGAGACAGGGUUUCUCUGCAGCUUUAGAGCCUGUCCUGGAGCUAGCUCUUGUAGAACAGGCUGGUCUCAAACUCACAGAGAUCCACCUGCCUCUGCCUCCCUAGUGCUGGGAUUAAAGGCGUGCGCCACCACCGCCCGGCUCAAUAAUUCAGUUUUCAUAUGAGGUAAUAAGUGGACUUUUAAUAGCUGAUGUAGCUUCAGAUUAAUAAUAUGAUUAUGGUUGCUAGUUGAUGUUUGUCCCUUUUGAACAGCUUUGUUUAGACAGACUUCAGUUUUGUGCACUAACUUAAAAAAAUGAUAAGAAUCUUUGUUUUUCAAACAUUUUGUAAAACUGAACUUUCUGUAAUUUCAGAGGUUUUCUGGUUCCUUCUCAGUGUUUUUGAAUGAAGGUAUCAUAAAAUGUACUGCUUAUAUUCUGGAUAGUAACACUUUUGAAACUGUCCAGCUUGUACAAGGAUUCUUCCUGUCGAUGUACACAUAGAAAGUGAUUAUAUUUAUAUGACAUACUGGGGUAAAUUCAAAGGAUUUGAGGAACGGCUUACAUGAACUUUAGUGAAAAAUCAUUAUUCAAUUUCCUUUAUUAUUACAAAAGUCUAAGAAAAGUACCAAGUGAAAAGAAAAAUAAUAUUGAAUUUGUAUAAAACUUCCAAAUAAAAUGUUAAAAAUGUUGAUAAUGAA
Molecule: RNA transcript, 2832 nt
Organism: Arvicola amphibius (Eurasian water vole)
Lineage: Eukaryota; Metazoa; Chordata; Mammalia; Rodentia; Cricetidae
Gene: Ap1s3
Gene name: adaptor related protein complex 1 subunit sigma 3
Exons: 6
Source: RefSeq, a predicted model, not a curated record